RNAcentral lists this ribosomal RNA (516 nucleotides) under uncultured bacterium. RNAcentral's name for it is "bacterial SSU rRNA". It matches the Rfam family "Bacterial small subunit ribosomal RNA", at positions 17 to 522 of the family's 1533-position model. The record is from RNAcentral.
CCUGGGCUCACAUUGAACGCUGGCGGCAGGCCUAGUACAUGCUAGUCGAGCGAUAACCGGAAUUAGCUUGCUAAUUUGCUGACAAGCGGAGGACGGGUGAGUAACUCGUCCGAAUCUGCCUGGACUUGGGGGACAACAUGUCAAAACGCAUGCUUGUACUGCAUACGCCCUACCGGGGAAAGGAGGGGAUCUUCUGACCUUUCUCUAUCAGAUGAUCCUGCGAGAGAUUAGCUAGUUAGAGGGGUAAAGGCUCACCGUCCCUACGAUGCCCCUCUGGUCUGACCGGAUGAUCUGUCCCACUGGGACUGAAACCCGGCCCAUACUCCUACCGGAGGCGCAACACGGGAAUAUUGGACAAUGGGUGCCUGCCUGAUCCAUCCAUGCCGCGUGUGUGAAUCAGGCCUUCCCGUUGUAAAGCACUUUCGGACUAGAGGAAAGGUUGUCCGUUAAUACCUGGGAGCUGUCAACUGACUCGCACAAGAAGCACCCGCUAACUCCGUGCCAGCGUAUUCGGUA